AGACUACCAGCUAAGGUCCCUAAAUCUUACUUAAGUGGAAAACGAUGUGAAGUUACUUAAACAACCAGGAGGUUGGCUUAGAAGCAGCCAUCCUUUAAAGAAAGCGUAAUAGCUCACUGGUCUAGUGAUUUUGCGCGGAAAAUAUAACGGGGCUAAAGUAAGUACCGAAGCUGUAGACUUAGUUUACUAAGUGGUAGGAGAGCGUUCUAUUUGCGUCGAAGGUAUACCGGUAAGGAGUGCUGGAGCGAAUAGAAGUGAGCAUGCAGGCAUGAGUAGCGAUAAUUAAUGUGAGAAUCAUUAACGCCGUAAACCCAAGGUUUCCUACGCGAUGCUCGUCAUCGUAGGGUUAGUCGGGUCCUAAGUCGAGUCCGAAAGGGGUAGACGAUGGCAAAUUGGUUAAUAUUCCAAUACCAACAUUAGUGUGCGAUGGAAGGACGCUUAGGGCUAAGGGGGCUAGCGGAUGGAAGUGCUAGUCUAAGGUCGUAGGAGGUUAUACAGGCAAAUCCGUAUAACAAUACUCCGAGAACUGAAAGGCUUUUUGAAGUCUUCGGAUGGAUAGAAGAACCCCUGAUGCCGUCGAGCCAAGAAAAGUUUCUAAGUUUAGCUAAUGUUGCCCGUACCGUAAACCGACACAGGUGGGUGGGAUGAGUAUUCUAAGGCGCGUGGAAGAACUCUCUUUAAGGAACUCUGCAAAAUAGCACCGUAUCUUCGGUAUAAGGUGUGGUUAGCUUUGUAUUAGGAUUUACUCCGAAAGCAAGGAAACUUACAACAAAGAGUCCCUCCCGACUGUUUACCAAAAACACAGCACUCUGCUAACUCGUAAGAGGAUGUAUAGGGUGUGACGCCUGCCCGGUGCUCGAAGGUUAAUUGAUGGGGUUAGCAUUAGCGAAGCUCUUGAUCGAAGCCCGAGUAAACGGCGGCCGUAACUAUAACGGUCCUAAGGUAGCGAAAUUCCUUGUCGGUUAAAUACCGACCUGCAUGAAUGGCGUAACGAGAUGGGAGCUGUCUCAAAGAGGGAUCCAGUGAAAUUGUAGUGGAGGUGAAAAUUCCUCCUACCCGCGGCAAGACGGAAAGACCCCGUGGACCUUUACUACAGCUUGACACUGCUACUUGGAUAAGAAUGUGCAGGAUAGGUGGGAGGCUUUGAGUAUAUGACGCCAGUUGUAUAUGAGCCAUUGUUGAGAUACCACUCUUUCUUAUUUGGGUAGCUAACCAGCUUGAGUUAUCCUCAAGUGGGACAAUGUCUGGUGGGUAGUUUGACUGGGGCGGUCGCCUCCCAAAUAAUAACGGAGGCUUACAAAGGUUGGCUCAGAACGGUUGGAAAUCGUUCGUAGAGUAUAAAGGUAUAAGCCAGCUUAACUGCAAGACAUACAAGUCAAGCAGAGACGAAAGUCGGUCUUAGUGAUCCGGUGGUUCUGUGUGGAAGGGCCAUCGCUCAAAGGAUAAAAGGUACCCCGGGGAUAACAGGCUGAUCUCCCCCAAGAGCUCACAUCGACGGGGAGGUUUGGCACCUCGAUGUCGGCUCAUCGCAUCCUGGGGCUGGAGCAGGUCCCAAGGGUAUGGCUGUUCGCCAUUUAAAGCGGUACGCGAGCUGGGUUCAGAACGUCGUGAGACAGUUCGGUCCCUAUCUGCCGUGGGCGUAAGAAGAUUGAAGAGAUUUGACCCUAGUACGAGAGGACCGGGUUGAACAAACCACUGGUGUAGCUGUUGUUCUGCCAAGAGCAUCGCAGCGUAGCUAAGUUUGGAAAGGAUAAACGCUGAAAGCAUCUAAGCGUGAAGCCAACUCUAAGAUGAAUCUUCUCUAAGCUCUCUAGAAGACUACUAGUUUGAUAGGCUGGGUGUGUAAUGGAUGAAAGUCCUUUAGCUGACCAGUACUAAUAGAGCGUUUGGCUUAUCUUUAAUAAAGCAU
Molecule: ribosomal RNA, 1909 nt
Filed under: Campylobacter jejuni
Lineage: Bacteria; Pseudomonadati; Campylobacterota; Epsilonproteobacteria; Campylobacterales; Campylobacteraceae
Description: partial 23S ribosomal RNA
Rfam family: Bacterial large subunit ribosomal RNA
Source: RNAcentral